CAAGAAGCCGAAAGGCUACUUAAAACCAUCGCGAACUUAUCCAAGUUGCUUCGGCGGCGCGGCUCCCCUCACGGGGGACCGCAGCCCCCGCCUCUCAGGAGGUAAGGGGAGCCGCCGGAGGUACGAAACUCUGUAUUAUAGUGGUAUCUCUGAGUAUAAAACAAAUAAGUUA
This 172-nucleotide unclassified non-coding RNA is filed under the name soil metagenome. Its description in RNAcentral is "partial internal transcribed spacer 1". The record is from RNAcentral.